Caretta caretta (loggerhead turtle) is the source of this 1044-nucleotide non-coding RNA. Lineage: Eukaryota; Metazoa; Chordata; Testudines; Cheloniidae. The record is from RefSeq and is a predicted model, not a curated record.
GUUAGUCUGUAUCCGCAGAAAGAACAGGAGGACUUGUGACACCUUAGAGACUAACACAUUUAUUUGAGCAUAACACCCACUAUUUCGUGUUCUCUGUGUAUAUAAAAUCUCCCCACUGUAUUUUCCACCGCAUGCAUCCGAUGAAAUAGCUCAGGAAAGCUUAUGCUCUAAUAAAUUUGUUCAUCUCCAUGGUGCCACAAGUCCUCCUGUUCUUUUUAAAAAGUGUCUCAGUGUCAUGGGAUGGGUUAUGUGUAAAAGAUUUUGAAAGAGAUGUAUGGGGGGGAUUGUUUGUUGCUGUUAGUAAAAAUAACAUACAGGAUUAUGUGUUAAAAACCUUUUUGUUUCUGUGUAUUGGCAGACUUACUGUUAUCCUACAAGAAGAAAUAUUGAAGGAGACGUUGCUUAAAGGCAUCAAGAAAUUUCCCUCUGAAUGAGCUACAGUUUCCAGGCGUGGGAACAAGAGGAUCAGACCCCCCAAUUUUGAACAGCCUGCUCAACUAAACUCUUCAUUAAACAGAGCAAACCACCUUUAAAAAGGGCCAAGAAUUCUUCCUCGGAAGCAGCUACAGUUUCCAGGGGUGGGAACAAGGGGAUCAGGACCCCCCCCAUUUUUGAACAGCCCUGCACAUCCAGAGCCAAGAAACCUACCUCUGAAGCAGCUGCAGCUUCCAGGGAUGUUGGCAUCUUGGGCAGGCUUCUCCUUCAGCCAGUCCCCCUGCUCCCUGCUGCAAGCUAGAGGGGAGCCGCUGCAGCCCCUGCUGAGUGCCAGCUUAGGGGGAGGGGAAGCACGGAGCCCAGCUGCGUCGGCAGCCGGGCGGAAGGAGGAGGGAGGACAAGGAGAAAAAUGUGACAUUCUGGGAGUGAGUGAUGGCAGCAGAUGUCAAUGCAGGAUCUCUGGGAAUCUGGCAGAGGAUGCCUUGCUUGUUAAAUCCUUGGAUCCUUUACAUUUGGGCUCUAACGAAUCUUGCGAGCUGGAAAAAAUCCACAGAGCAGCCCUUGUAUCACUCAUAAUAGCUUGUUCUUUUUUUAAUAAAAGUAACUGAU